Molecule: ribosomal RNA, 380 nt
Filed under: uncultured eukaryote
Lineage: Eukaryota
Description: partial 18S ribosomal RNA
Rfam family: Eukaryotic small subunit ribosomal RNA
Source: RNAcentral
CAAUAGCGUAUAUUAAAGUUGUUGCAGUUAAAAAGCUCGUAGUUGGAUUUGUGGCGUACGGUGUGUUCCGGGCACUUGUUGUCUGAGUAACCUGCUGUUGCCAUCCUUGGGUGGAACCUGUGUGGCAUUAGGUUGUCGUGCAGGGGAUGCCCAUCAUUUACUGUGAAAAAAUUAGAGUGUUCAAAGCAGGCUUAUGCCGUUGAAUAUAUUAGCAUGGAAUAAUGAGAUAGGACCUCGGUACUAUUUUGUUGGUUUGCGCACCGGGGUAAUGAUUAACAGGGACAGUUGGGGGUAUUCGUAUUCCAUUGUCAGAGGUGAAAUUCUUGGAUUUCUGGAAGACGAACUACUGCGAAAGCAUUUACCAAGGAUGUUUUCAUUAA